Saccostrea cuccullata (small rock oyster) is the source of this 289-nucleotide long non-coding RNA. RefSeq lists it as uncharacterized. Lineage: Eukaryota; Metazoa; Mollusca; Bivalvia; Ostreida; Ostreidae. The record is from RefSeq and is a predicted model, not a curated record. The transcript has 3 exons.
UUCUCGGUUAAUUCUUUUUCCCUUUGUAGCUAUCAUGGGAAAUAACAUCGGUAAAAUAUGUAAAUUGCCCUAAAUAUAUUAAGGUAAUUAUUCAUUGGACUGACGGAUACCUUGAUCGAUGGCCCACCAAACUGGCUAUUGUGCUCCUAAUUUGGCGCUUUGUCUUAGUUAUAGAGGUAGAAACAAAACAAGCCAGCAUAGAAAAUGACGCUCAAAGUUUUAAGAAAAAAAUAAGGGAGGCAGGUCCAGUUUCAAAGAAUCUUAAUAAUGUUAACCCAUUAUUAUCUCU